Molecule: ribosomal RNA, 371 nt
Filed under: uncultured bacterium
Lineage: Bacteria
Description: bacterial SSU rRNA
Rfam family: Bacterial small subunit ribosomal RNA
Source: RNAcentral
AAUCAACGCUGGCGGCGUGCCUAACACAUGCAAGUCGAGCGAGAAAGUGGGGGCAACUCCAUGAGUACAGCGGCGACCGGGUGAGUAACACGUGACUAACCUACCCUUGAGUGGGGAAUAACUCCGGGAAACCGGAGCUAAUACCGCAUAACACCGUAAGGUCAAAGGAGCAAUUCGCUUAAGGAGGGGGUCGCGGUUGAUUAGCUAGUUGGUGGGGUAAUGGCCCACCAAGGCGAUGAUCAAUAGCCGGCCUGAGAGGCGCACGGCCACACUGGAACUGAAACACGGUCCAGACUCCUACGGGAGGCAGCAGGUGGGAAUUUUGCGCAAGUGGGGAAACCCUGACGCAGCAACGCCGCGUGAAGGAUGAA